RNAcentral lists this ribosomal RNA (466 nucleotides) under Danio erythromicron. RNAcentral's name for it is "Microrasbora erythromicron partial 16S ribosomal RNA". It matches the Rfam family "Bacterial large subunit ribosomal RNA", at positions 1923 to 2540 of the family's 2925-position model. The record is from RNAcentral. Lineage: Eukaryota; Metazoa; Chordata; Actinopteri; Cypriniformes; Danionidae.
UUUAACGGCCGCGGUAUUUUGACCGUGCAAAGGUAGCGCAAUCACUCGUCCUUUAAAUAGGGACCUGUAUGAAUGGCCAAACGAGGGCUUAACUGUCUCCCCUUUCAAGUCAGUGAAAUUGAUUUAUCCGUGCAGAAGCGGAUAUACUAAUACAAGACGAGAAGACCCUUUGGAGCUUAAGGUACAAGACUUAAAUCACACAAAACAAACCCGUAAACGUUACUAAUCAAGUGAAAAAUAAGUUUCUACCUUCGGUUGGGGCGACCAAGGAGUAAAAAACAACCUCCAAGUGGAGUGGGCACAGCCCUAAAACUAAGAGAAACAUCUCUAAGCCUUAGAACAUCUAACCAAAGACGAUCCGGCCCUUAAAGCCGAUCAACGAACCAAGUUACCCUAGGGAUAACAGCGCAAUCCUCUCCAAGAGUCCAUAUCGACGAGGGGGUUUACGACCUCGAUGUGGAUCAGG